CUAUUUUUUUCAUUAAAAAACAGACACUGCAAUUCUCCUGUGUGGCUCUUGUUUCACCUCUAGAACAAAGGAUCUGUUCAGCCAGUUCCUGUAAAACUCCAGGAUUCUGAGAGAAUCUGGAAGGGAGCUAGUUCAUAGCAUAGUGUGCUUUGUUGUAUCUGCAUCAGCAAAGCAGAUAAGCUCAGCCUCUCUUCAUCUGAAAAGGGAACAGAGGAGUAGCAGCAGGAGACAGUGCAAUACUUGAGGAUAUUUUGAAGAUUUCAGGCAACAAGACGACUUUCAGCUGUAUCCAGCACUCCAGCUGUGUGUGAUUUGCCUCUUAAUCAAAGAUUUCAAAAAUCAGGUUCCAUCUGCUAAAAAAUUCAAAGAUCCUGGAUUUGAGAGGCUAUUUAUGAACAUCAAACUGUGGUCCAUUUCUCCCUGGAGUAUCAUGCAGAUGUGCAGCUGCACAGCUGCAGCUCUUCAACACCAGGAGAAGUAUGAGCUAUCCACAGACACCAGUAAAAAGCCAGGCCCAUGCAGGCCACACAAGCCCUGCCUAAACUUGGGAGAAAUUUGAAAUAACAGGAGGUACUGUUUACCUUUCUCAGAGUAUGAAUGGAUAGAGGCAUCUUAAUUAUGAGAAAAUAAUUAAUACUCACCCACCUUCUGAUCUGUGGAAUUAAAGACUCCCUAGCAUACAAUGAAAGGCUACAAUGGCACAGCUCAUGUGGGCAAUAAUGGCUUUGGUGUGACCUUCACAACCUGAAGACAAGUGAGGGAAAUUGUGCUGAAACAACCUGAAGAUGGCUGGAGUUUUGAAAAGCACUCAAUCAAAUGAAGGAAAAUACAUGCAGAAGCACGUGCUGUCCCCUACAUCAACAACGGCUGAAUAUCAAAGGAGCCUACACAUGUAUUUUUAAAGCAAAACAUCUUCUGAUUAAAAAUAUUUAUAAUGAAACGUAUUCAGUGGAAUGCAUGCUAUUUUCUUUUGUUAAAUUUUAAGUCAUUUCAAUAGAAUCUUAAAGCUUUUAACAUAAUUUUAGAUAUGGUUUAGAUACAGAGGUUUGUUAGAACUACCAGAAAUUGCUAUUACACCUUUUAGACAAAAAUGUAGGGUAGGUUAUCUGCUAAUAUCUUGGUGGAAAAAGAUCAUUUCUGCAACACUGUCCCUAAGAUAUCCUCAACUCAGAUCCUUUAGGAACUCUGCUGACUUCCAGAGUCUUAGUUCCAUACUUUCUACAGCCAUCAAAAAAAACAUCAAUAAGGGUGUAGGAAACAGAAAAAAAAAAAUCAUUAUUACAAGAAUAGAAGAAGAAAAGAAAUUUAAAAUGUUAUUUUUAACCAUUAAAUACAUCUGACUAGAAAAAAAAUGUGACCAAGCUUGCCUACUCCUAUUCCUUUUCAAGCAAACCAGUUUCCUUAAAGUUGUCUCACUUCCAGCUGUGAGUAAACAGGAAGUCUUCACGAUUAUUUUCACUACUGUGAGACUGUGUGGCAACUUUAGCUUCCACUUUCUCUUUCUGAAAGCAUUGCCAGAACAACUUUUAAAAGACAUCUAAAAAGAGUUAAGAAAAAAACUGUCUCUAAAGUAAAAAACUACUGAAAAUUUACCUUGAUGUCAGUUUAAGUAGGCUUUUGCAUGGAUCUCUGACAUUGUUUAGCACUACUACUCCAUGCUUUUGUUAAUCUUGUUACACAAGCACAUAUUUUCUAAUGCUCCUGAGAAUAAUAAUAAUUUUUAAAAAUCAACAUAUCUUUCCAAUUGGUUUUUUUGGCAUUUCAAGGUCAUUUCAAGGAUCCUACUGUUUUCCCUGUUUUUUAUGGGAAAAGUAUAUUAAAAUUCAUCACACUCUGUCUUAUCAAACUGUUUAUUAUUACGUCAAGGCAGUGAAAAACAAGGUUAUUUGCAAGGAAAAACAGGGUGAAAUUAUAACAGUGGCAAAGGCCAUAAGUAAACAAACAGGGAUAAAGCAGACACCAUGCAAAUAUUUCCAGGGAAGCAAGAACCUAAAAUACGAAUAUAGCUGGAAACUCUAGAACUAUACGUUUUGUUGCACUGCCUUAAAAAUGUAGUCUCAAGAUUAUAUUUUGAAAACAGAAAAUGCUAUUUGCACUUUCAAAAAUUACUUAUCAAUGUAAUUGAACUGUAAUAAAACAUUCUAUAAUUACAGUGACUGGAGAAAUGUGGCGUCUUAUUUUUAAUGUUUACCAAGAGCAUUUAAUUUAAGCUGUUAGUUAAAUACUACACUAUUGUAAAGGAAUGUUUUAAAAAAGGAAACUAAUUUCCAAAUCUCCUUUUUCACCAGGACAAAAGUAACAAUAUAAACUGCUCACAUAUCCAACCAUUAGCUGAAAUCUCAGCCAAAGCUGCCUGGUCUAUGACCUGCAAAGCCCAAAACACACAUCACUCACAGACAUAGAUUUUUUCACCUACUUGACUCAGAAGUUGUCUCCAGUUCACCUUUAUAGGCUUAACACAUAUUUAGAAAUUCUCUUUACAAAGGCAGGUCCUCAUUGAUAUUUAGAUAUAUUUGACUGUGUUCUUGCAGGAUCUGCUGUCUAUAUUUUUUUUCCAUAUGAAGUGAUGUCCCAUUCUCAACACUUAUAAUAAAUAAAAUAUGCUGUAUAUUACCUUAUUUCUUAAGUAUAAUACAGAUCUAAUCUUAAAAUUCACAAAUAACAAAAAUUAUAGUAUAUACUUAAUGUUCAGAAGAAGCACGUGCAGACAAAUUAAUGACAGGCACCAGAAAAUAACAUUUCCUACUGAGCAUCUGUAUAGAAAAUUUAACCAUACAACUGAAUGAUUUAAAAAUUUUAAGCUAGACUGAAGUGUAGGUAGAGAUUUACUUCUAACAGUUAAAUGAUACUACUGUAGAAAAUAUAAUUAAAGUGGUUGUAUUCAAAUAUUA
Cyanistes caeruleus (blue tit) is the source of this 2891-nucleotide long non-coding RNA. RefSeq lists it as uncharacterized. The record is from RefSeq and is a predicted model, not a curated record. Lineage: Eukaryota; Metazoa; Chordata; Aves; Passeriformes; Paridae.